AGGGGAUAUGAUGAAUGGUAAAAACUCGCUUAUAUUGCGAGAAGAGCGUUCCGCCCAAAGCCUGUUACGACUAUUGGGCGCUCUCUUUUUUACACAAUCUGAUCCCU
This 107-nucleotide small nucleolar RNA is filed under the name Arabidopsis thaliana (thale cress). RNAcentral's name for it is "ncRNA (SNOR105)". It matches the Rfam family "Small nucleolar RNA Z279/snoR105/snoR108". From Rfam's summary of the family: This family includes the plant snoRNAs known as Z279, snoR105 and snoR108. All three are members of the C/D class of snoRNA which contain the C (UGAUGA) and D (CUGA) box motifs. Lineage: Eukaryota; Viridiplantae; Streptophyta; Magnoliopsida; Brassicales; Brassicaceae. The record is from RNAcentral.